Leptopilina boulardi is the source of this 2272-nucleotide RNA transcript. RefSeq lists it as uncharacterized. Lineage: Eukaryota; Metazoa; Arthropoda; Insecta; Hymenoptera; Figitidae. The record is from RefSeq and is a predicted model, not a curated record. The transcript is spliced from 4 exons.
CUCCAGAAUUUCUCUCUCUCUUUCUCUCUCUCUAUCUUUCUCUCUUGGUUUUUUUAACUGAUGUAAUCCUGACAGUGUGAAACAAGAUCCAAAUAUUCACUUUCAUUUUCAUAUUUAAUACACUUUUUGAAUGGUUUUUAAUUUUUUUCCCGCUUAAUACUACGCACAAUUUUAUUAAAUACUCAUCUUUCCGAGAAAGUCUUGUAACUUUUUUUUUCUUUAUUUUGUUACAGACGGAAAAUACGUACACUGGAGAAAUCCAAAAUUGGUAACUAAUUACAGAGGAGGAAGAAGAAGAAGAAGAAGGAGAAGAACAAGAAGAAGAAGUAGGAAAUUUCCACCCACAGCUGGUGCCAAAUCGGUGGCAAUUAUGCAAUAUAUAAAUGACGUUCAAGGCCAAUGACCUAAAGGCACACUCAAGGUAAAUUUGUAUAUAUAUAUAUAUAUAUAGUUAAAACUGCACCCGCGAAAAUGUGAAUCAAGUGCAGGACACGUUACGACUUUUUUCUCUCUCUCGCUCUCUUUUUCUUUUAGGUGCGUGUGUCGUGUCUGAUGAGCGCGUCGAAGAGACGAGAGAAGAAUAACCCAAAUUUCUUCUUUACGCACGUUUCACUUAUAUACAAAUCUAAUAUAUUCGCGUAUAUCUUAUAAAUUCUCCUUCUCGUCGUUGUCGUCGUCACCGAUACGAUACUUUAUUUCGACAUAUAUAUAUAAUCCAUGAAAGAUAUCGUGUUUCUAUUCAUAUUUUUUUUCUCUCUUUUUUUUCACAUCAACCCAGAGACCUUUAUUCAAAUUAAGUUAAUCUUCAUUUUCUUUAACCGGGGUAUCAACUCACGAUGACUUUUAGUCAGAGAAUCCACUCGACUGUUAAAUGUUGUCUAAAAAUAGGCUACCGGUCUCUUACACUGCCGAAAAGAGUGGCAAUCAAAUAAGGGAAUAAAUUAUUUGUACGUGACACAAAAGUGCGCUCGAAAGGCUCAUUUAAAAAAAUAUAAGUAUUAAAAAUGAAAGUAAAAAAAAUUGUGUAUACGAAGGAUUUUCACGUGAAAAGCUUAAUGAUUUUUUUUGAAUAGUGUCGUUCAGGAAGUAUGUACUGUUAAAUUCAAAGAAUAGAAUGAAAAUACGAUUAAAUGACACGUUUACGCAUAACUGGCAGUUGUUGCAAAGAGGUCACGUUCUCUGGGUUAAAGUCCAAAUAAAAAAUUCCCACAAGGAUUUCAAAAAUUGAAGAGUUGGAGAUGAAAAAUGAAAAGGACGUUAAAUACCUUAUUUUUGGACGGCAUGUUUAUUGAGAAUCCCACCUCAAAGAACGAAAAAAAAUUGAAUUUUCCCAAAAAAAAAAAAAAAAUGGACACUGUCCAGCUAUAUAUAAUCAAGGGAACGAAUGAUAUUAAAAUGCGACAGUGUUUUAUCACUGAUGGACGUGCCCACAGCUAAUUCCCCACUACCUAACACAACUCAUCUGACUUUAAUUCUCUUCCCCUUCAUAUAUAUGAAGUGCCAUCUUCCUUUUCAUUUUCUCUUCAAUUUUUUUUCCUCUCACUUGUGCUAAUGUUGUGCCGCAAAUAAUAAACAAAGCAAAUUGCGAUAGAUAAGGUACAAAGUUCUAGUUGUAUUUUAACUUUGUAUGAGUGUGCUAUAAGGUAUUAUAUGAUAUGAUAGCAGAGAGAAAAAGGAGAAUCGGUUGUAUCCGUUUUAUAUUGCUGGGGCGCGCGCGAGAGAGCGAUUGUUGUUUCUUUCAUAUAAAAAAGAAGAAAAUAAAUAAAAAAAAUUGAGUAUAUGGAUAGUUGACGUCUCUACUAAUAAUUGUGGAUAACAAUUGAGUUUAAUCGUCGCAUAAACUUCUCAUCAAGUUGUUGUAUAAAAUAAUGUAUAGAAACGAAAAAAAGUUCAUUUUUCAAUUCUACACCCAGAGAAAAUUGAAUUCAAAAUAAUUGAAUUUUUGUUAAAUAAAUUUAUUAAGUUCUAUAUGACAAAUAUAUUUUUAUUUGACUCAAAUAAAUUUUAAAGAUUUUUUUAAAAUACCAAAAUGUAAAGUUCGAUUCUUUUAGUCAAUUUUUUCAAACCUUUUUUAGCCACUAGCCGUAAAUAUUUAAUUUGAUGUUAUUUAAGUGAAUACUUUUCAGUAAUUUGAAGGAAUCGCGAUAAUUAAAGGGUCGUAUAUGUAUAAUUUGAAUAAUUUGCUUUGAUAUCAGUAUUUCCAAUUUUAAAGACGUUGAAAACUUGUCAACUUUUUCCUUCAAAGGCAAGUAAUUUGAGAGAAACUAUCUUC